RNAcentral lists this small RNA (5616 nucleotides) under Pongo abelii (Sumatran orangutan). RNAcentral's name for it is "retained intron". The record is from RNAcentral. Lineage: Eukaryota; Metazoa; Chordata; Mammalia; Primates; Hominidae.
CUCAAGCUGGUGAAUCCGCGAUUGCGUACUAGAGAAGGGGGCCUUUGGGAAGUCUCAAAUGCUACGCUUAAAUUUUCCUGGAGUCCAGAUGUCCUUCUGAAUCCACUAAGCCUUGUGAAGCGAUGGGAACGUCAGUACCUGGUGUGUAAGAGGAAGCUGGAGAGUAAGAAGGAAGCCCUGCUGAUCCUCUCCAAGGAGCUGGACACCUGUCAACAGGAAAGGGACCAGUACAAACUCAUGGCCAAUCAGCUCCGGGAGCGCCACCAGUCACUGAAGAAGAAGUACCGAGAGCUGAUUGAUGGAGAUCCAUCACUUCCUCCUGAAAAAAGGAAACAGGCUAAUCUUGCACAACUAUUGAGAGAUUCUCAGGACCGAAAUAAACAUCUGGGAGAAGAAAUUAAAGAACUUCAGCAAAGGCUUGGAGAAGUCCAGGGCGACAACAAGCUCUUGAGGAUGACGAUUGCCAAACAAAGGCUCGGAGACGAAGAAAUCGGCGUGCGACACUUUGCAGCCCAUGAGCGUGAAGACUUGGUGCAGCAGCUAGAGCGAGCUAAGGAACAGAUUGAGUCUCUGGAGCAUGACCUGCAGGCUUCUGUGGACGAGCUUCAGGAUGUUAAAGAAGAACGGUCUUCCUACCAGGACAAAGUGGAGAGGCUCAACCAGGAGCUGAACCAUAUCCUGAGUGGGCACGAGAACCGCAUCAUUGACGUGGACGCCCUGUGUAUGGAGAACAGGUACCUUCAAGAGAGAUUAAAGCAACUCCAUGAAGAGGUCAACCUCUUGAAAUCAAACAUUGCCAAAUACAAGAAUGCUCUGGAGAGACGGAAAAACUCGAAGGGCCAGGGUAAAUCCAGCAGCAGUGCUCUGACAGGAGUCCUGUCUGCAAAGCAAGUUCAGGAUCUGCUAUCUGAGGAUCAUGGAUGCAGCCUCCCAGCUACUCCGCAGUCCAUUUCUGACCUGAAAUCUCUGGCAACAGCCCUGUUGGAAACAAUCCACGAGAAAAACAUGGUCAUUCAGCACCAGAGGCAAACCAACAAGUAGGUGGCCAAACUCUUGGGUUGGGGGGUGGGCUUGAAGGAAGUGGGACGAGACUAUCAGAAGUGAAUGUCAACCAGCUGGAACCACAGACCUGCAGGGAAGGUGAGACCCCUCAAAUCAAGAAGGAAACUUAUUAAACUAGAAUGGUGCUUCUGCUUUAUAUCAGCAUCUUGGCUAUCAGCUGGAGCCAAGCAAGGAAAGAGUACCGGCCAUACUGAAUGCUUACUCUGAGCUAUGCACUGAGUAGUAUGUAUUUCAUGGAUGAGUUCCAUAAAAUAAUUGCCUGGGUGACUUGACCCACCUCUCCUCCAGCUCUUGUUUUAGGGGAGAAACUGCCUCAGUGCCAUUUGAAACUCCCAGCAUGACUUUGAGGGUCUUUUAAUGGCAGAAAUCGCCCAAGCAUCAACUUCCACAGGCUGCUGGGCCUAGAAAAGAAUCUCAUGUCACUCUUCCAGAUCCGCAAAAAAGAUGGUGAAAAGAAAGCGUAAUUAAAAUGGAAUGUCUUAUUUGGUUUUUAUAGCAUGUUGACUAUGUUAUGUAAAACCAAGCAGGUUAAAGUAGCCAUUAAAGAUGACAGAGGCAAUAUCAAGAGUGUUCAGAGAAUGGUGAAUAAACAAUAAAUUAAAGUAGCAAAUACUACACAUGGGGUUGGCUUUCUGGGCAUGCAACCUGUGCUCAGAAGGACCCCACAUUAGGUCUGAUCUUCCACUGUCACCAUCUUGGAAUUCUUAGUCAUUGUUUUAACAAGAGGGUCCCACAUUUUUAUUUUGCACUGGACCCUGCAAAUUAUGUAGCUGGUCCUGCUUGCAAGACAGACGUACACCUGGAACCAAAAUGCAGGUGUGAGAGAACUGUGCGGGGCCUGGAAAGCUAGGCUUCAAGUGACAAAGGGAGGGACCAGAGAAUCUGGGGCCUGAUGAACGCAGGGGCAUGAUGAACGCAGGGACAUGGGAGAGAGGCAAGUGGAAAGUGAUUGAAAGUAUCAUAAAAACAAAAUAGAAAAAGAGAAGCUGGAGUGAAGGGAAGAUUGCACCAGAGAUGAAGAUGUAUGUGGAAGAAAGUGGAGAGCAGCAAAGGGAAGCAGGGCAAUCUCGAAGGGAUGACAAGGGUCAUUUAUUGACAGGAGAAGGUUUAAAUGUUCUUGAAAAGUGAAAUCUUAACCAAGGAAUGAAAAGUCAGACACUGAAAUGCAGAUGCUUCUCAGGGGAGGAAGAAGGAAUGGGCAUCCCCUGCAGCACGAAAUGUCCUCCAUGAGCUGGCUUCGUCCUUCCCUCUCUACAGAUACCUCAUCUUUCAAGCCUUCUCAGGUCUUCUAAACCCUGGUCCAUUCUCAGCAGGUGACCACUGUUCUUCAUUCAGUGAGAAAAUGGGGCUUCUCACCAUGAGCCUCUCAACUUGCGGCUGCCCUGAAACCAGUGUCUCCCCAUGUUCUGCUCACUCCUGUCUCCAGAAAGUACACCAGCUGCCAUCUUGUUGGUCCAUGGGAUCUUUCCUCUUCUGGGCCUCUGCUCCCCUGGGACCUCCUGUCUCACCCUCUUCAACCUCCUCCCUUCCUCUGGCUUUUGCCUCUUUGCCCUGAACCCCCAAAGCCUUUCCUCAACCCUGCUGCCUUCCCAAAAAUACCACCAGCCUGGAAUGUUUUUGAAGAAGGCCUCCUCUCCUUCCUCAAUAGCUACCCUGUCUAAAUGUAUUCCAGGAGGUCACUUAUGUUGGAAUUGCUUGGGUGCAGCGGCUGUGGGGUGGGGACACUUGUUUAUAAAUGCAGAAUCAGGGAUUUGUGGGAGGGAAGGUUAGGAUUCUGGAUUUUAGUAAGUCCCGGGUAAGUCCAUGCACAGGAAAGAAAGAUAACCUUGGCUUUAAUGCCUCCCAAGACCUCUUCCUACAUUUCCUACGGCAUUCUUUCUUUGCAGGUCACCAGUAUCCCCAAACUCCACCUUUGAGUCUCUUUCUUCUUUAAUUUCUUCACAUCGAGAUUUUCAUCUUGAAAUCCAAGUAAGGUGGAUUUCAAGGGGGAAACUCCAGCCUUCUCCACUGUCUCAUUUCCUUUUCCCACCUCUCCCCUGACCCCCACCCCAGACCCACUCCAUCUUUUUUCUCUGUCUUCUGUGCUUUUUCCCCCACCUGGGAGACCUCAUUCCCUGUCUCUGUCUUUGCCUCUCAUUCUCUGCAGACUCUUCUCAGAUCUCUUGUCCCCACCACCCCAUCAAGAGCAAGACCAAGACCCACAUUUCCAACUUCUGGUUGAUGGUUUCUCCGGAUAUCCUUUCGGCUCCUCAAAUUCCAUCAGUCAACAUCCAUCCUAGUAUGUUUCAAAAAUGGUUAUGCCCUUUGACCAUCACUUCUUCCUUGGGGAGACCCUCCCACAGCUCCAUCCUCAGACCCCAGUCCUACCUCCCCCGCCUAACCCACCUGCCAGCUACAGUUCUGAGCAUGACACUAGCCUUCUCUGCAAAGCAGGCUGAGUCCCCAUUGCCUGCCAAAGGCAGCAUCCACAGGCUAUCGGCCUGACAUGCCUCUGCAGAGGAUCCCAGCCUCCUCUGACAGGUUGAUUCCCUAAUGUGUUCCUAACCAUACCCACUGCAAACACACCCAUUCCCCAGGUUCACAGCACUCUCUCCCUCCAUUGUGAAAGACUGACAUUUUCAUUUGACCAUGUUUAUUUUUGUUUCUAUAUACUUUUUCAUGUUUAUUUUUUAAUAAUUUUUGAGCCAUCCUCUGGGUUUUUUGUUUGUUUGUUUGUUUUGACAGGGUCUUGCUGUGUCUCCCAGGCUGGAGUGCAGUGGCAUAGUCUUGGCUCACUACAACCUCCACCUCCCAGGUUCAAGUGAUUCUUGUGCCUCAGCCUCCCUUGUAGCUGGGACCACAGGUGCACGCCACCACACCUGACUAAUUUUUUUGUAUUUUUUUAGUAGAGAUAGGGUUUUACCAUGUUGCCCAGGCUGGUCUCAAACUCUUAACCUGAAGUCAUCCGCCCGCCUCGGCCUCCCAAAGUGCUGAGAUUACAGGCAUGAGCCACCAUGCCUGGCCUCUGUGGUUUUAAUUUAAUAUUAAUUUAAGGUUAAACAACAAUGUCUUUCCAAACUACUCCCAGCUACCUUAAUCCCCUUCCUGGAAGAAACGUCCAUUCCUCAUUUCUUAUGUAUCCUUCCAAAGGAUGCAUAGACAGUAUAAGCAAAUGCACAAUACAUUUAUGUAUAUACACAUACUCAUAUAUUUACAUAGAUAUACUGUCUUUUUUUUUUUUUUACAAACGGUCACUUGUAUUCAUUUUUUAAAAAGGUUUCUUUUUUCAUUAUUCUGCCUCUUGAUUUUUUCCCCUGUAAUAAUGGAUCUUGGAGAUUGUUUCAUAUCAGCACGUAAGUUGCCUAAUGUGCCAUCUUUAAUACUUAGAGGGUCCUCUGUUUCAUACUUUUAAUAAAUGUUUUAUUUGGGGGCAUGUAAAGAAACUAAUUAUACUACAAAUGGAAUGAGGGCUGAGAAUAGAAUGUGACUUUGGUCUGUGUGUGUUCUCUCCCUUGAUUUAGCCUUGUGCAACUGAAAUAAUAAAAUAGCUUUUGGAAUACACUGGAAACUACCCUGGUCUCUGUGUGCAUGCCCCAAUUGCAAUCUUAGAAAAAAAUAAUAAUUAAUUAAUUUAAAAAAGAAAAGAAAUGGCUUUAUUUUGCUGGAGCACUAUACAUAGCAGUAAAGGUGUUCCUUCCUGGCAGCGUAUGCUCCCCUGCUGGUUUUCCACUGCCUGACAGUUACCACCCUUGAGAGGCUCCAACGGGAGCCAUCUCGAAGAAUUGAUGAAGAAACCUAGGACUUUACAUCUUGAGCAACAUUCAAUUAAUAGGCAAUUUGCUUGAGCUACUUCUUGCCAGCAAGUUGGCAGUUGCCUGCUGAUCGAGAAAGAACGGAUGUGAGGUUCAUUCAUCUUUCAAACUGGGUGGCAAAGCAUUCGUGGACGAGGUGGUUGUUCAAGGGCCAUUUCACUGUGCACCACAUUUCGUUCUCCAGACCUUCCCCCCAGGCCCAUGCCUUACCAUGGCGGGGAGGUGGUGGUGAAUAUAUGAGGACAUAUUGGCCUUUUGCUAUCCUUCCUGCUAUGCUUGAAACCGUUUCCUCUUCUCUUUCCCUGGCCAAUGGUAAAUGAGCUUGAAGUUCAGCAUCUUGGGGAGCAGCAGCAAGAGGGCGUAUGGAUCAGAGCAGAGACGUGAAAGGAGGCCACCUGGAGUAGAAGGAAGCAGGGGCGUCUUCAGGCAUGUAGAGACACAGUUACCUGCUUCCCCUUUAGAGCCAGGCUUUCCUUAAAGACCUUCACUCAGGUAUUCCUGCUGUCUGUGUUGUCCAGAGAGCAAGCACAGUAGUGCAGUUCCUGUGUGAGUUCUGUCUUCACAGACUCCUCAUCCUACCUUUGAUGAUGUCAUUACUAUCUAAAACCACUGCAGGGAAGCCAUCUGGAGACUGGGCAUCCUGAGAGAUUUUCCUAGACUACUAGGUAGAUACAUGCUGAAACCUCCCCCAAAACAACCCAUAACUAAAUAAAAACUUUAAAACUUUAAAAUCUCCCUCAUCCUGCAAAAACAAAAAACAAAA